RNAcentral lists this ribosomal RNA (2929 nucleotides) under Bacillus anthracis (anthrax bacterium). RNAcentral's name for it is "partial 23S ribosomal RNA". It matches the Rfam family "Bacterial large subunit ribosomal RNA". Lineage: Bacteria; Bacillati; Bacillota; Bacilli; Caryophanales; Bacillaceae. The record is from RNAcentral.
UUUGGUUAAGUUAGAAAGGGCGCACGGUGGAUGCCUUGACACUAGGAGUCGAUGAAGGACGGGACUAACGCCGAUAUGCUUCGGGGAGCUGUAAGUAAGCUUUGAUCCGAAGAUUUCCGAAUGGGGAAACCCACCAUACGUAAUGGUAUGGAAUCCUUAUCUGAAUACAUAGGGUAAGGAAGACAGACCCAGGGAACUGAAACAUCUAAGUACCUGGAGGAAGAGAAAGCAAAUGCGAUUUCCUGAGUAGCGGCGAGCGAAACGGAACAUAGCCCAAACCAAGAGGCUUGCCUCUUGGGGUUGUAGGACAUUCUAUACGGAGUUACAAAGGAACGAGGUAGACGAAGCGACCUGGAAAGGUCCGUCGUAGAGGGUAACAACCCCGUAGUCGAAACUUCGUUCUCUCUUGAAUGUAUCCUGAGUACGGCGGAACACGUGAAAUUCCGUCGGAAUCUGGGAGGACCAUCUCCCAAGGCUAAAUACUCCCUAGUGAUCGAUAGUGAACCAGUACCGUGAGGGAAAGGUGAAAAGCACCCCGGAAGGGGAGUGAAAGAGAUCCUGAAACCGUGUGCCUACAAAUAGUCAGAGCCCGUUAACGGGUGAUGGCGUGCCUUUUGUAGAAUGAACCGGCGAGUUACGAUCCCGUGCGAGGUUAAGCUGAAGAGGCGGAGCCGCAGCGAAAGCGAGUCUGAAUAGGGCGUUUAGUACGUGGUCGUAGACCCGAAACCAGGUGAUCUACCCAUGUCCAGGGUGAAGUUCAGGUAACACUGAAUGGAGGCCCGAACCCACGCACGUUGAAAAGUGCGGGGAUGAGGUGUGGGUAGCGGAGAAAUUCCAAUCGAACCUGGAGAUAGCUGGUUCUCCCCGAAAUAGCUUUAGGGCUAGCCUUAAGUGUAAGAGUCUUGGAGGUAGAGCACUGAUUGGACUAGGGGUCCUCAUCGGAUUACCGAAUUCAGUCAAACUCCGAAUGCCAAUGACUUAUCCUUAGGAGUCAGACUGCGAGUGAUAAGAUCCGUAGUCAAAAGGGAAACAGCCCAGACCGCCAGCUAAGGUCCCAAAGUGUGUAUUAAGUGGAAAAGGAUGUGGAGUUGCUUAGACAACUAGGAUGUUGGCUUAGAAGCAGCCACCAUUUAAAGAGUGCGUAAUAGCUCACUAGUCGAGUGACUCUGCGCCGAAAAUGUACCGGGGCUAAAUACAUCACCGAAGCUGCGGAUUGAUACCAAUGGUAUCAGUGGUAGGGGAGCGUUCUAAGGACAGUGAAGUCAGACCGGAAGGACUGGUGGAGUGCUUAGAAGUGAGAAUGCCGGUAUGAGUAGCGAAAGACGGGUGAGAAUCCCGUCCACCGAAUGCCUAAGGUUUCCUGAGGAAGGCUCGUCCGCUCAGGGUUAGUCAGGACCUAAGCCGAGGCCGACAGGCGUAGGCGAUGGACAACAGGUUGAUAUUCCUGUACCACCUCUUUAUCGUUUGAGCAAUGGAGGGACGCAGAAGGAUAGAAGAAGCGUGCGAUUGGUUGUGCACGUCCAAGCAGUUAGGCUGAUAAGUAGGCAAAUCCGCUUAUCGUGAAGGCUGAGCUGUGAUGGGGAAGCUCCUUAUGGAGCGAAGUCUUUGAUUCCCCGCUGCCAAGAAAAGCUUCUAGCGAGAUAAAAGGUGCCUGUACCGCAAACCGACACAGGUAGGCGAGGAGAGAAUCCUAAGGUGUGCGAGAGAACUCUGGUUAAGGAACUCGGCAAAAUGACCCCGUAACUUCGGGAGAAGGGGUGCUUUCUUAACGGAAAGCCGCAGUGAAUAGGCCCAAGCGACUGUUUAGCAAAAACACAGCUCUCUGCGAAGCCGUAAGGCGAAGUAUAGGGGGUGACACCUGCCCGGUGCUGGAAGGUUAAGGAGAGGGGUUAGCGUAAGCGAAGCUCUGAACUGAAGCCCCAGUAAACGGCGGCCGUAACUAUAACGGUCCUAAGGUAGCGAAAUUCCUUGUCGGGUAAGUUCCGACCCGCACGAAAGGUGUAACGAUUUGGGCACUGUCUCAACCAGAGACUCGGUGAAAUUAUAGUACCUGUGAAGAUGCAGGUUACCCGCGACAGGACGGAAAGACCCCGUGGAGCUUUACUGUAGCCUGAUAUUGAAUUUUGGUACAGUUUGUACAGGAUAGGCGGGAGCCUUUUAAACCGGAGCGCUAGCUUCGGUGGAGGCGCUGGUGGGAUACCGCCCUGACUGUAUUGAAAUUCUAACCUACGGGUCGAUAAGACCCGGGAGACAGUGUCAGGUGGGCAGUUUGACUGGGGCGGUCGCCUCCUAAAGUGUAACGGGGGCGCCCAAAGGUUCCCUCAGAAUGGUUGGAAAUCAUUCGUAGAGUGCAAAGGCAUAAGGGAGCUUGACUGCGAGACCUACAAGUCGAGCAGGGACGAAAGUCGGGCUUAGUGAUCCGGUGGUUCCGCAUGGAAGGGCCAUCGCUCAACGGAUAAAAGCUACCCCGGGGAUAACAGGCUUAUCUCCCCCAAGAGUCCACAUCGACGGGGAGGUUUGGCACCUCGAUGUCGGCUCAUCGCAUCCUGGGGCUGUAGUCGGUCCCAAGGGUUGGGCUGUUCGCCCAUUAAAGCGGUACGCGAGCUGGGUUCAGAACGUCGUGAGACAGUUCGGUCCCUAUCCGUCGUGGGCGUAGGAAAUUUGAGAGGAGCUGUCCUUAGUACGAGAGGACCGGGAUGGACGCACCGCUGGUGUACCAGUUGUUCUGCCAAGGGCAUAGCUGGGUAGCUAUGUGCGGAAGGGAUAAGUGCUGAAAGCAUCUAAGCAUGAAGCCCCCCUCAAGAUGAGAUUUCCCAUAGCGUAAGCUAGUAAGAUCCCUGAAAGAUGAUCAGGUUGAUAGGUUCGAGGUGGAAGCAUGGUGACAUGUGGAGCUGACGAAUACUAAUAGAUCGAGGACUUAACCAUAUAA